Molecule: ribosomal RNA, 253 nt
Filed under: uncultured bacterium
Lineage: Bacteria
Description: partial 16S ribosomal RNA
Rfam family: Bacterial small subunit ribosomal RNA
Source: RNAcentral
UACGGAGGGGGCUAGCGUUGUUCGGAAUUACUGGGCGUAAAGCGCACGUAGGCGGCUUUGUAAGUUAGAGGUGAAAGCCCAGAGCUCAACUCUGGAACUGCCUUUAAGACUGCAUCGCUUGAAUCAUGGAGAGGUCAGUGGAAUUCCGAGUGUAGAGGUGAAAUUCGUAGAUAUUCGGAAGAACGCCAGUGGCGAAGGCGACUGACUGGACAUGUAUUGACGCUGAGGUGCGAAAGCGUGGGGAGCAAACAGG